UUCCGGUUGAUCCUGCCGGACCUGACUGCUAUCGGAUUGAUACUAAGCCAUGCGAGUCAUUGUAGCAAUACAAGGCAGACGGCUCAGUAACGCGUAGUCAACCUAACCUAUGGACGGGAAUAACCUCGGGAAACUGAGAAUAAUGCCCGAUAGAACACUAUACCUGGAAUGGUUUGUGUUCCAAAUGAUUUAUCGCCGUAGGAUGGGACUGCGGCCUAUCAGUUUGUUGGUGAGGUAAUGGCCCACCAAGACUAUUACAGGUACGGGCUCUGAGAGGAGUAGCCCGGAGAUGGGUACUGAGACACGGACCCAGGCCCUAUGGGGCGCAGCAGGCGAGAAAACUUUGCAAUGUGCGAAAGCACGACAAGGUUAAUCCGAGUGGUUUCUGCUAAAGGAACCUUUUGUUAGUCCUAGAAACACUAACGAAUAAGGGGUGGGCAAGUUCUGGUGUCAGCCGCCGCGGUAAAACCAGCACCUCAAGUGGUCAGGAUGAUUAUUGGGCCUAAAGCAUCCGUAGCCGGCUCUGUAAGUUUUCGGUUAAAUCUGUACGCUCAACGUACAGGCUGCCGGGAAUACUGCAGAGCUAGGGAGUGGGAGAGGUAGACGGUACUCGGUAGGAAGGGGUAAAAUCCUUUGAUCUAUUGAUGACCACCUGUGGCGAAGGCGGUCUACCAGAACACGUCCGACGGUGAGGGAUGAAAGCUGGGGGAGCAAACCGGAUUAGAUACCCGGGUAGUCCCAGCUGUAAACUAUGCAAACUCAGUGAUGCAUUGGCUUGUGGCCAAUGCAGUGCUGCAGGGAAGCCGUUAAGUUUGCCGCCUGGGAAGUACGUACGCAAGUAUGAAACUUAAAGGAAUUGGCGGGGGAGCACCACAAGGGGUGAAGCCUGCGGUUCAAUUGGACUCAACGCCGGGA
This 915-nucleotide ribosomal RNA is filed under the name uncultured marine group I thaumarchaeote. RNAcentral's name for it is "bacterial SSU rRNA". It matches the Rfam family "Archaeal small subunit ribosomal RNA", at positions 1 to 923 of the family's 1478-position model. The record is from RNAcentral. Lineage: Archaea; Thermoproteati; Nitrososphaerota.